GGGUCGAUGGCGUAGUUGGUUAUCGCAUCUGUCUUACAUUAAAUCUCACAGAAGGUCCUCAGUUCGAGCCUGGGUCGACUCA
Non-coding RNA from Termitomyces sp. Mi166#008, 82 nucleotides. The record is from the annotation of a GenBank genome assembly. NCBI's taxonomy places the organism in Eukaryota, Fungi, Basidiomycota, Agaricomycetes, Agaricales, Lyophyllaceae.